Molecule: long non-coding RNA, 602 nt
Filed under: Solanum tuberosum (potato)
Lineage: Eukaryota; Viridiplantae; Streptophyta; Magnoliopsida; Solanales; Solanaceae
Description: long non-coding RNA (STUB_LNC008339)
Rfam family: MIR1919 microRNA precursor family (bases 22-144)
Source: RNAcentral
UCCGAUGCCUUUGAUGUUCACAUCUUCUGGUAGUCCUGUCGCAGAUGACUUUCUCCCUUCUCAUUCAGCCCCUUUCUCUAAAUCUAAUUAAUUUGAUUUCAAUGUGGUAGGACGAGAGUCAUCUGUGACAGGAUAAUGGAAGAUCUAGUUAUCAAAGGCUUAUUGGGGCGUUCUUUUUUUCAUGUCGAAUUUGUAGGAAAUUCUCCAACUUUUGCAGAGUAGUAUUGCAAAACCGAAGUAGCAGCACAGGUAGAUAUUUCGUUACUAUUAGCUAUUGGAUUGAGUAUUAUUUGCUUCCACUUUAAGCCUAUGCUGUAGAAUUUGAUGUUAGGUUAACACAAGUUCCUAUUUGCUUGUGAGUGCUGUUGAGAUUUGUCGGUAAAAACAGUACUUUUUGUUUAAUCAAUAUUAAGAAGAUGUGGUAUGUGGGAGAUGUGUUGGACACCAAUUUAAGGGAGAAAAUGGAAACAUAUAGCAGUGUUCAACUUUGUGCAGGCCUAGAUGUGUUAAAAGUUUCAGCAGUUAUGUGGUUUGUCCAUAGUCUUUGUUUUUUUAAAGAUCUACUAUUCUUUGCAUUUGAGGUAUAUGCUAACAAUUUUGGG